RNAcentral lists this ribosomal RNA (492 nucleotides) under uncultured bacterium. Its description in RNAcentral is "partial 16S ribosomal RNA". It matches the Rfam family "Bacterial small subunit ribosomal RNA", at positions 29 to 507 of the family's 1533-position model. The record is from RNAcentral.
AGUGAACGCUGGCGGUAGGCCUAACACAUGCAAGUCGAACGGCAGCACAGUAAGAGCUUGCUCUUACGGGUGGCGAGUGGCGGACGGGUGAGGAAUACAUCGGAAUCUACUUUUUCGUGGGGGAUAACGUAGGGAAACUUACGCUAAUACCGCAUACGACCUACGGGUGAAAGCAGGGGAUCUUCGGACCUUGCGCGAUUGAAUGAGCCGAUGUCGGAUUAGCUAGUUGGCGGGGUAAAGGCCCACCAAGUCGACGAUCCGUAGCUGGUCUGAGUGGAUGAUCACCCACACUGGAACUGAGACAGGGUCCAGACUACUACGGGAGGCAGCAGUGGGGAAUAUUGGACAAUGGGCGCAAGCCUGAUCCAGCCAUACCGCGUGGGUGAAGAAGGCCUUCGGGUUGUAAAGCCCUUUUGUUGGGAAAGAAAAGCAGCAGGUUAAUACCCCGCUGUUCUGACGGUACCCAAAGAAUAAGCACCGGCUAACUUCGUG